This 66-nucleotide non-coding RNA is filed under the name Streptomyces autolyticus. Lineage: Bacteria; Bacillati; Actinomycetota; Actinomycetes; Kitasatosporales; Streptomycetaceae. The record is from RNAcentral.
GGUUUGCUACGGUCGGAAUCGACCCGACGAGACGCGCCGUACCGGGACCCGCAAAGACGACGCACC